This 109-nucleotide ribosomal RNA is filed under the name bacterium. The record is from RNAcentral.
CUCGGUGCUUCUAGCGAAGUGGUUCCACCUGAUCCCAUUUCGAACUCAGUAGUUAAGCACUUCAGCGUCGAUGGUACCUCUUACGAGGGAGAGUAGACCAGUGCCGAGA